UAUGAUAGAGGCGCGGAACAAGAUCAGUAGCACCCGGCAAAAACGGCGGGACCGUGGGUGCGAAAGGCUUUUCCGCCGAAGGGUAUCCGCCCUCCCGCAGCGGAUAUGCCUGGGCCGUCGGAGAACAUCCGCCGGACUGUCGCUCCUUUCGGGAGCGGAGAGCUGUCAG
RNAcentral lists this non-coding RNA (169 nucleotides) under bovine gut metagenome. RNAcentral's name for it is "Lysine riboswitch". It matches the Rfam family "Lysine riboswitch aptamer". Rfam says of the family: Riboswitches are metabolite binding domains within certain messenger RNAs that serve as precision sensors for their corresponding targets. Allosteric rearrangement of mRNA structure is mediated by ligand binding, and this results in modulation of gene expression. The record is from RNAcentral.